Molecule: ribosomal RNA, 222 nt
Filed under: uncultured bacterium
Lineage: Bacteria
Description: partial 16S ribosomal RNA
Rfam family: Bacterial small subunit ribosomal RNA
Source: RNAcentral
UCGAGAAUAGUCUACAAUGGACGAAGUCUGAUAGUGCGACGCCGCGUGAACGAAGAAGCCCUCUGGGUGUAAAGUUCUUUAUAUGUGAGCAAGGCCUUAUAUGUGACAAGCAUAUGGGAGAGAUAUUAGCAUAUGAAUAAGCAACGGCUAACUCCGUGCCAGCAGCCGCGGUAACACGGGGUUGCGAGCGUUGUCCGGAAUUACAAGGCACACAGGGGAUAG